RNA transcript from Juglans microcarpa x Juglans regia, 2836 nucleotides. RefSeq lists it as uncharacterized. The transcript has 7 exons. NCBI's taxonomy places the organism in Eukaryota, Viridiplantae, Streptophyta, Magnoliopsida, Fagales, Juglandaceae. The record is from RefSeq and is a predicted model, not a curated record.
CUUAAUGGUACUCAACAUUUGAUAGUCUUUAUAUGCGAUGCGAGAACCUUGUAGCAAGACAGCCUUCCUAUACCCAAAAGAGAGAACCUUGUUCCUUUGCCUUUGCAAAACUUGCACGCGCGAUCCCCUCUCUCUGCAAAUUCAAAUCCUAUGGUUUAGACUCAACUCUCAAAAUCCCAAAGGAGAUCUAUUCUCCUACCGCUUAAAAACCCUAAUAGACCAAUUAAAUUCUUUCAGUUCAUGCUCGUACCCCAGUACAACAACGCCAAAGAUUCACAGUUACUCUUUAUUAAUUUGACAUUUCUUGUCAAAUUCUCAGAGCCAUGAGUUACAUUUGUUGGUUCUGGUAAAAGGGUAAGCGCCAUACAUCUCAUAUCCAAAGAUACAAUGGAGGACCAACGCAUUCGUUUUUGAUACCCAGAUCGGAUUCAAAGAUUAUGGGUGAGAAGCGGAGUAGCGCUGGAUUGGGAGAUAAAGAUGAUUCUGCUCGUGGGCGGGUCAAAAUGCGAGAUCUUGAUUCCGUGUGUCGGUCUGAAGGAAUCAAUACCCAUUAUAAGAAAUCAUUGAAAAACAAAGAAUCCAGUGAUCAAUUUCAAUUGGGUGAAGAAGAGUUGUCUCAAGUUACCGAGGUGCCUGUAAGUUUGGAUUUGGAUGCUUCUCAAGCGGAGAAAACUGGAAGGAACUCAUUUCCAUUAGCAGUUAAUCUUGCUCCUAGACCACUGGAUCUCAAUACUGAAGUUUGUGUUGCUGAAGAUUCGGCCUGUGGUGAUGGUCAGAUAUGUGCUGAGAAUUCUAAUCCACCGUCUUUGUACAGGAAGCGCGAGAGAGUGCACGAUGGUAAAUGCCUAACCUCAAGAGGCAUUGGGUUCGAUCUUAAUGCAGAAGAUGUCUCUAGUUCAGUGAGUCCGGAGACAUCAUGUUAUCCUUCCAAAAUUCAUGGCCAGUUAAAGUCGAGAGAUGUUUCUGAGUGUGAGAGUUCUUUGGGACCGUUGGGAGAGAGAGAUCCAAAGCGACGUUGGGAGGAGAUGAAGCAAAAUGGUUUUCUCUCAUCUUCUUACGGAGGCAUACCAAUGCCAAAGCAACGUAUGAAGAAAAGUAAAAAUGACAUGAUCAAGAAAAGGAUGGAGCUUGCAAAGAGAGAACAAGUUGACAGGUUUACUAAGAUUGCUGCGCCAAGUGGGCUGCUCAACGAUUUGAACCCUGGGAUUAUAAACCACGUGAGAAACAGAAAACAGGUCCACUCAAUUAUAGAGGCCCUCGUAAGGUCUGAGCAACUCGAAAAUGAAAACAUUAGAAGCAAACAAACAGCUCAUCAGAGAAGUGGCACUACAGAAUCUGGCAACAGAAUGGACCCAGAAAACAUUAAUGAUUCAAGAAUACAUCCAGUCAUUUCUCAUAAAGAUGGACAUUUAAAUGCUUUAUCUGGGAUCAGGCAGACAGGAGUAUACACCAUGCCAAUGAAUAAAUAUUCUCAGUCGAUUGUAGAGGGUAAACGUGGACGUAAUGAGCUAAGCAUGGUAGAGACGGUGUGUGGUAAAAGUCAUAUCUCACACUUCACCCCUCUCAGUGAUGAUACUACACCAGAGCUUAAAGUGUCAUCUUCAUCUCAGGCAUCUGAGAAUGCUAGCUCCUCAUCUAACGAGGAUUCGGCAAACUUUGCCAGCACUGUAAAAGCUGCCAGUGUUGCUUCCCAAUGGUUGGAACUUCUUCAUCAAGACAUUCAAGGACGUCUUUCGGCAUUGCGACGUAGUAGGAAGAGAGUUCGAGCUGUAAUUAGUACAGAGUUGCCAUUUUUGAUAUCAAAAGAAUUCUCAUCUAGUCAGGUGAAUACUCCUUAUGUAAUGAGAAAUUCCAUUGAUGAAUUUUCGAAUAGUGCAACUGCAGACAUGCAUCGAGCAAGAUGGAACACGCUCUUUGAUCAGAUGGAUAAAGCUCUUUCUGAUGAAGAGAAACAGCUUGAAAGUUGGUUGAACCAAGUAAAAGAAAUGCAGCUGCAUUGUGAACAGGGGCUGCAACAUGUCAACUGGAAUGCGGCAUUUGGUCUAAAACAGUUGGGAACAUCAGAAAAUGACUCCAGGUAAAAACUUGUCUUAGUUGCUGCUGCCAUCAUCAACCUACUAUAAUCAUGGAUAAAUCCUGGCGGUAAACAGGUUGUCAUAUUAUUUAUAAUUACAGUCAAUGUGUGCAACUGCCAUGUGUUCUCUAAGAAAAGUAGCUGUUCUAAUUCAGUUAGGUUACUUAUUCUCAUGAGCAUUUUUGGGAACGAGGGAAAAGAGAAAGAGAAUCCAGUCUACAAAAGAUAUUAUCUGGGUUUGUAAUGCAUUUCUGUUCUGAAGUUAGAAAGGUGACAAACAUAAUAUUCCUACAUCAGUUGGAAGAAACAUGCACCUUCAGAUGGAUCUGUAAAUUUAGACUCAGCAAAUUUUGUUUUCUGCCAUUGCAUAAAUUAUGAAGUUGCAUUUCAGAGAGCAAGAGCGUGGCAAUUGAGAAAAAAUAGUUUUUGUUUUUUUGCCCGGAGAAAGAGUAGAUGGUGCUUUACUUCCCUGUGAAAGCCAAGAUUAUGAGAUCCACUUAUUAUCAGUUUACCUUCACAUUGUUUCCUGCAAAUUUCACUUUGAACCCCAUGAUUCCAGUGUUCAGUGGGAUUUCAAAUUUAUUUUUUCACUGAAAACAUGUUGAGUCACUAAUUAAACCAAACCUAAGGAGUAAGAGUUCACCUUACGCUAUGCCAGUCAAAAUAUGUUUCCAAUUGGUGUUAAAAAGUGUAGUUAUGGCUUUCUUGUUCUUAUGCAAUUUUUUGUUUUGCAUAAGAGCUCCCUUCAAAUAUUAUUACUCC